GUUCCCGUGAUGUAGUUGGUUUAUCAUAUCGUUCUUAUAAUGCGAAGGUCGCGAGUUCGAGCCUCGCCGGGAACA
This 75-nucleotide transfer RNA is filed under the name Colletotrichum spaethianum. RNAcentral describes it as "tRNA-Ile". It matches the Rfam family "tRNA". From Rfam's summary of the family: Transfer RNA (tRNA) molecules are approximately 80 nucleotides in length. Their secondary structure includes four short double-helical elements and three loops (D, anti-codon, and T loops). Further hydrogen bonds mediate the characteristic L-shaped molecular structure. tRNAs have two regions of fundamental functional importance: the anti-codon, which is responsible for specific mRNA codon recognition, and the 3' end, to which the tRNAs corresponding amino acid is attached (by aminoacyl-tRNA synthetases). tRNAs cope with the degeneracy of the genetic code in two manners: having more than one tRNA (with a specific anti-codon) for a particular amino acid; and 'wobble' base-pairing, i.e. permitting non-standard base-pairing at the 3rd anti-codon position. Lineage: Eukaryota; Fungi; Ascomycota; Sordariomycetes; Glomerellales; Glomerellaceae. The record is from RNAcentral.